RNAcentral lists this ribosomal RNA (531 nucleotides) under uncultured bacterium. Its description in RNAcentral is "bacterial SSU rRNA". It matches the Rfam family "Bacterial small subunit ribosomal RNA", at positions 777 to 1308 of the family's 1533-position model. The record is from RNAcentral.
AAUAGAUACCCCGGUAGUCCACGCCGUAAACGAUGUCGACUUGGAGGUUGUUCCCUUGAGGAGUGGCUUCCGGAGCUAACGCGUUAAGUCGACCGCCUGGGGAGUACGGCCGCAAGGUUAAAACUCAAAUGAAUUGACGGGGGCCCGCACAAGCGGUGGAGCAUGUGGUUUAAUUCGAUGCAACGCGAAGAACCUUACCUACUCUUGACAUCCAGAGAACUUAGCAGAGAUGCUUUGGUGCCUUCGGGAACUCUGAGACAGGUGCUGCAUGGCUGUCGUCAGCUCGUGUUGUGAAAUGUUGGGUUAAGUCCCGCAACGAGCGCAACCCUUAUCCUUUGUUGCCAGCGGUUCGGCCGGGAACUCAAAGGAGACUGCCAGUGAUAAACUGGAGGAAGGUGGGGAUGACGUCAAGUCAUCAUGGCCCUUACGAGUAGGGCUACACACGUGCUACAAUGGCGUAUACAAAGAGAAGCGACCUCGCGAGAGCAAGCGGACCUCAUAAAGUACGUCGUAGUCCGGAUUGGAGUCUGC